Molecule: long non-coding RNA, 2703 nt
Organism: Globicephala melas (long-finned pilot whale)
Lineage: Eukaryota; Metazoa; Chordata; Mammalia; Artiodactyla; Delphinidae
Source: RefSeq, a predicted model, not a curated record
GCAGGCUACAGGGAGGUUCUGAAACCCUCCAGUGGGAACCAGGAAUUUCUGGUCAAAGACUGUUCCGCGCUUUCAGGGUCAGUUCUCGCUGCAUCCCUGUUCACCUUCUUCUCUAUCGGUCUCCAGGCACUUAGGGCAGCCUCACUCGCUAGCCCGCUGGGCGCCGCCACGGGCCUGGGGCCCCAGGGCGGGGACAGGGAGAAUACAGCCGAUUGUUGAAGAGAGCUUUAUUCCUGCGGCAACCCGCCACCAUCCCGGCUACUGCUGCUGGCCCAUGACAGCGCUGAGGGCUUCUGACAGGCUACCACUGCGACCUCGCGGACCAUGUCUCCCCUAUCCUUUGGGCGAAACGCUGGACAAGCCCCGCCGAUCGCUCUCCACUAGCCAGAUCUGGCCAACUUUAGUGCCUGGGCCCCCGUAAAGAAGAUCAGAGCAAGAACCUCUGCAUUUGUUGGUAGCUGCCAAAGAGUAAGAACCUCUGUGGGGUACUGCAUUGCUGCUGCUGCCACAAACCCAAGGAGAAAGACCCAGAAAGACCAAGGAGAAAGGUCUAAUUUCUGAUGAUCCCUUCCUCACUGAAGAUCCCAGCUUUCUUUGGUUGCUGGACAGCCUAACACUUGUUCCUUGCCCUCUGCCUCUUCUCUCUCCAGAAUCAACUCUCAUUCUCCCUGCAGGGGCAAUAGAGCCCACAGUUGCUAGGGCCGGCUUACCUGAGCAUGCCCCGGUGCUCCUCAUGCCACACCUGGAUACGUUCCUCCCACUGGUCCUUGUUAAGUUUGUGCUGUUCCAGGACCCUGGAAAGACAAUGCAUGCUGUGAACACACUCACAAGAAGGAACAAAAGCAAACGGGAAGAACUAUGGGCCCCACUUCCCUUUCCCACCAGGCCUUGUAACUCCUCAAGCUAUGGCUUCCCAUUGUUGCCUGUUAUUUAUCGCUGGUGCCAAGGAGGGUGCUUCCUCUCCAGUCAGCUUCCUCUCUGGUCAUCAGCCAGACAACUGCUGGAUUCCAGGAUGGCCCCAGAGCUUCUGUCAAUUCCUCCCAAGGAGUCCAGCUCCUUCCUCCUAGGCCCCUGAUCUCCCUGAAUGAUGGAUCUCAAAGGUCAGACAGAAUGGACUUCCCUCCUUAUGCCUCAUCAACUUAGAGAGAGGGAAGAAGGGAAGAGAUCAAAUGCCCCAGUGGCCUGUGAACACGCAUCUCUGAGGAUUUCCAUCCAGACCGGCCUUGGUCCCGAGAGUGCCAGAUGCUCAAUUCUGUGCCAGAGUUGAAAUUUUUUUUUUCCUGUAGCUUUCACCUAUGGGAUCCCAGCUCUGCUCCUUCUGACCUCACAGAACAUGACUGCCCCCUCCUUCCUACAACAGCCCCUCAGUGAUCUCAAGACAGAGAAUACAUCUUCUCUUGAGUCUUCUCCAAGCUAAACAGGCUCGUUCACCCCAAACAGAGUAGCACAGUAGGGAAAAGUAUAGUUUUACAGUCAGAGCUAUAUUUGAAACUCUGUAUCACAAUUUACUAACUACAUAACCUAGAGUGUGUUUUUUCACCUCUCAUAGGCAGGGUCACUACAAGGAUUCAAACAAGGUUAGUCCAUAGUAGGUGCUCACUAAAUCAUAUUUCUCAAAACAACACUUAUCUUCCUGGUGGGAAAUCAUGAAUUUCCGGGUUUCCUCCCUUUCCUCUCCCCAACCAGUAUGAAAGAUUCAAGUCUCUCAAGGGCUUUUUUGGGGAAGCAGUAGCUUUCAGAACUAGCACAUCAAUCUGGCCAGGGCUCCCUACCAACUGGGCUUCCCUCAGAACCACACCCACAGUACGCAAACCAAACCAACACUAACAAAGAACUAUCCGGCCCUGUGGCUUUUCAAAGUUAACAAACCCCUUUGUUCAAGUAUUUUUCUGCUCUAGGCUCUAAAUUAUGCCUUCUUCACCCUCCACAGCAACGCCCUCCAAUGCAAAUGGACAAAGCCCCCAGUGUUGAAGGCAGGGAACAGUGUCAUUUGUUUGAGAGAGGUGGGAUAUAGAACCAGGGCUCUGGGAAGGCAUCUGGGUAGAGGCCAAGGGAGUCUCUGGUACCCAGUUGGACUAUAAAAUCCACAUUGGCUGAUACUCUCCUCUCUACAGAUGCUGCCCAGAAUGAUACUGCUGUCUGAAGCAAAGGGCCCAACAGCCUACCUAUGGUAUGGACACCUUCUCCCUUUUGUCCCAGAGACAGUAGAAGCCUAUCUAGGAAGAGCUGUCCCCUCACCAGGUAUCCUUCCCCUCCCCACCCCCUGGCAUAUGCCAAUUACAGAUCACACUCAAGUGAAGCAUUUCCCUCCUUUUUACAGAAAGGGGUCAUCUGAAAUCCAAAUAGUGGGGUUAGAAAUGGGAAAGAAAAGAUAUGGAAUACAGAAAUAAAUGCCACAGAUAAAUUUCUGAGAGAUAACCAGAUUUGAGAUAUCAGUUAGACAGUGUACAGAUGGGGAAACUGAGGCCCAAAGAGGGGAAAGUUUUGUGUAAGGUAUCAGGAGAGUUAGUGGUAGAGCCAGGCCUAAGGCUCCAAAUUUCCAACUUUCUAUCCAGUGCCCUUUCGACUUCACCAGGCUGUCCCUUGAAAAGCUUUCCAGUAUAAAACCUGCAUGCAAAGGGAGAAUGCAAAACCUUAAUGUAAUCAAAAUGCAUUCAGUCAUUCCAGACUAGCAUUGUAAUCACUUGUGAACUAUGUGAAUGU